RNAcentral lists this transfer RNA (85 nucleotides) under Felis catus (domestic cat). It matches the Rfam family "tRNA". Rfam says of the family: Transfer RNA (tRNA) molecules are approximately 80 nucleotides in length. Their secondary structure includes four short double-helical elements and three loops (D, anti-codon, and T loops). The record is from Rfam by way of RNAcentral. Lineage: Eukaryota; Metazoa; Chordata; Mammalia; Carnivora; Felidae. RNAcentral also lists the same sequence under 1 other name.
GCCUGGGUGGCUCAGUCAGUUGAGCACCUGACUUCGGCUCAGGUUAUGAUCUCACGGUUCGUGGGUUCAAGCCCCACGUGGGGCU